Long non-coding RNA from Homo sapiens (human), 696 nucleotides. RefSeq annotates it as MIR4733 host gene. The record is from RefSeq and is marked validated. The transcript has 4 exons. NCBI's taxonomy places the organism in Eukaryota, Metazoa, Chordata, Mammalia, Primates, Hominidae.
GUCAUCUAACUCCUCUGGGCCGUCUGGCGAGCGUCCCUCACCGCCGUGGGGCUCACCUAGACUGGCGCUGGGCUCAGCUGGCGAGUGCCAGAGCUGACCCGGGAGCAUCCACUCCCAUCCCCACCGCCCCCUACAGCUGUCCCCUCCCCCGCCGGCCUCCGGGUUUGGAUUGCUCCCGGAGUUGGAAGUUAGGGCGCCCUGGGGCUAGCCUUUCUCCCAGCGCGCGGAUCUCUGCCGCUAAUCUCCUGGGGAGGCUGUGCUCUCAGCUUAAGCUCUCAGAAAAAAUAAGAGACAAGGUCUGACUCUGUGCAGUGGAGUGCAGUGGCUCAAUCAUAGCUCACUCCAGCCUCAGACUCCUGGGCCGAAGUGAUCCUCCCACCUCAAGCUCCUGAAUAGCUGGGACUACAGGCAACAAGCUCUGCCAAUUUUUUCUUCGAAGAGUUUUGUUCCAAGCUGGGAGCCGUGGCUCAUGCCUGUCAUCCCAGCACUUUGGGAGGCCAAGCUGGGCAUGGUGGCAUGUGCCUGUGGUUCCAGUUACUUGGGAAGCUGAAGUGGGAGGAUCGCUUGAGCCCAGGAGGUCAAGGCUACAGUGAGCUGUGAUGGUGUCAUUGCAUUCCAGCACUCCAGCCCGGGCAUCAGAGUUAGACCUUGUCUUAAAAAAUAAAUAAAUGAAUAAAUAUAAAUAAAAAAUAAAAA